This 329-nucleotide ribosomal RNA is filed under the name Bacillus thuringiensis. Its description in RNAcentral is "bacterial LSU rRNA". It matches the Rfam family "Bacterial large subunit ribosomal RNA", at positions 1292 to 1624 of the family's 2925-position model. The record is from RNAcentral. Lineage: Bacteria; Bacillati; Bacillota; Bacilli; Caryophanales; Bacillaceae.
GAAUGCCGGUAUGAGUAGCGCAAGAUAAGUGAGAAUCUUAUCCACCGUAAGACUAAGGUUUCCAGGGGAAGGCUCGUCCGCCCUGGGUUAGUCGGGACCUAAGGCGAGGCCGAAAGGCGUAGUCGAUGGACAACUGGUUGAUAUUCCAGUACUAGAUAUGAUCGUGAUGGAGGGACGCAGUAGGCUAAGAGAUGCCAGUUAAUGGAUUCUGGUCUAAGCAGUGAGGUGUGAGAUGUGUCAAAUGCAUUUCUCUUUAACAUUGAGCUGUGAUGGGGAAGCAACUACGGUUGCGAACUCUCUGAUGUCACACUGCCAAGAAAAGCUUCUAG